Molecule: ribosomal RNA, 383 nt
Filed under: Saxifraga androsacea
Lineage: Eukaryota; Viridiplantae; Streptophyta; Magnoliopsida; Saxifragales; Saxifragaceae
Description: 5.8S ribosomal RNA
Rfam family: 5.8S ribosomal RNA (bases 225-380)
Source: RNAcentral
GUGCCUCCCUCGGGAGCGCCCUUUGUUUUCCGACAACGUCGGUGCGACUUGGAGUUCGUUGCUCCCUGCGUUGUAAAACUCGCUCGGGCCAACCAACUUCCGGCUAAACCAAAGCAACAUAAAAACGGCGUGAAAUGCGCCAAGGAACAUGAAAGAGAGUGCGCUCUUCUGGUGUCAGCACUGCUGCGCCAGAACGGGCGUUGUCUUCUUGAUGAGUUUAUAAUGACUCUCGGCAACGGAUAUCUCGGCUCUUACAUCGAUGAAGAACGUAGCAAAAUGCGAUACUUGGUGUGAAUUGCAGAAUCCCGUGAACCAUCGAGUCUUUGAACGCAAGUUGCGCCCGAAUCCUUUUGGUCGAGGGCACGUCUGCCUGGGUGUCACGU